AUGGGCGGGAGCGGCUGCUCCAUGGAUGAACCUUCCUCCGGGAAGGUCGAGGUGGCCCUCGUGAGAAGGUCAGUGUGGCUGGCUAGGACGGCGCGGGGAGAGGGGGAUCCCGGCCAGCGGGGUGAUGCGGUAGCCCACAUCAGCUCCGAUGAGGAAGAAGGGCAUGCAUGGAGAAGAGGCACCUGGGCAGGCGAGCUCCGAGGAAGAACGCGGGGGGUAGCCGUGGUGAAUGAGAAGAGGAAGGAUAAGAGGAAGGUUGAGGGCGGGAGGAGGCUCACCGGAGGGGAGAAGUGUGGGGUUGACCAGAGGGGAGGGACGGGGAGAGCAGUGGCGGCGGACGCGGGGGUUCCGGGGAGGGCGCGCGGCGGCGGGGUCUCCGGGGAGGGGCGCAGCGGCGUGGGGAUCGGGGGGGAGGGGGGCGCGAAAGCAGCGAGGGGAUCGGGGGAGGUGAGGGAGUCCUGUACUAAGGGGUCCUCGGGCGUCCGACCUGUUAGCUAUGGGCCGGACUGA
This 510-nucleotide ribosomal RNA is filed under the name Triticum aestivum (bread wheat). RNAcentral's name for it is "partial small subunit ribosomal RNA". Lineage: Eukaryota; Viridiplantae; Streptophyta; Magnoliopsida; Poales; Poaceae. The record is from RNAcentral.